RNAcentral lists this ribosomal RNA (253 nucleotides) under uncultured bacterium. Its description in RNAcentral is "partial 16S ribosomal RNA". It matches the Rfam family "Bacterial small subunit ribosomal RNA", at positions 524 to 776 of the family's 1533-position model. The record is from RNAcentral.
UACGUAGGGUGCGAGCGUUGUCCGGAAUCAUUGGGCGUAAAGCGCGUGUAGGCGGUCCGGUAAGUCCGCUGUGAAAGUCGGGGGCUCAACCCUCGGAUGCCGGUGGAUACUGUCGGGCUUGAGUACGGAAGAGGCGAGUGGAAUUCCUGGUGUAGCGGUGAAAUGCGCAGAUAUCAGGAGGAACACCAAUUGCGAAGGCAGCUCGCUGGGACGUUACUGACGCUGAGACGCGAAAGCGUGGGGAGCAAACAGG